CAGUUCGGAUUGUAGUCUGCAACCCGACUACAUGAAGCCGGAAUCGCUAGUAAUCGCGAAUCAGAAUGUCGCGGUGAAUACGUUCCCGGGUCUUGUACACACCGCCCGUCAAGCCAUGGAAGCCGGGAGUGCCUGAAGUAUGCAACCGCAAGGAGCGUCCUAAGGUAAAACCGGUGACUGGGGCUAAGUCGUAACAAGGUAUC
Molecule: ribosomal RNA, 203 nt
Filed under: uncultured bacterium
Lineage: Bacteria
Description: partial 16S ribosomal RNA
Rfam family: Bacterial small subunit ribosomal RNA
Source: RNAcentral